UGUGAGAUAGUUAUGAUGUUUUUUUGUGUGCGCUAUAUUUCUUAUCGCCCCUUCUUCAUCCACACCAACUACCUUCUUUCCUCUCCUUUCCAUGUCUAUUCCACUCUAGAUCAGAUUUGAGAGAGAGCCUAAAGAGAAAGAAAAAAAUCAAGAAAUUUUUUUUUAUUUUUCUUGGUGGUUAGGAUCAAUCUCCAAGAUCCUAUAUAAGGCUAUAUCAAGUAGAUUCAAGUAAAGGGCCCUGAUCCAUGCUGAAGAACAAAGCCUAC
Molecule: long non-coding RNA, 266 nt
Filed under: Elaeis guineensis (African oil palm)
Lineage: Eukaryota; Viridiplantae; Streptophyta; Magnoliopsida; Arecales; Arecaceae
Description: long non-coding RNA (EGUI_LNC060671)
Source: RNAcentral